UCAUGUUGCCUGCUCAAGUUUCCACC
Molecule: non-coding RNA, 26 nt
Filed under: Homo sapiens (human)
Lineage: Eukaryota; Metazoa; Chordata; Mammalia; Primates; Hominidae
Source: RNAcentral